UCAAAUGCAACAUUGAACCCCUCAGGUAACUUUCAUUGAACAUUUGCCAGAGGUGGUAUAUCGUGACCACACACCCGGGUUUCUCUGCGUGUGUGGUGAGUAUCCUACACACCUUCAACUAAGGGGUAGGUUAAGCCGGGCACGCUCUAAAGAAGCAGCACAACUCCUCCGCUAGAGGGUUGAGCGGGAAAAUGUACCCGAUCCAGAAUGCAUACUCGUAAAAAGUACAGAACCCGGGCCUAUGCACGUUGGCUCCUCUAUGGCAGGAACUAUUUCGAUGUGAUCCGAGAACCCAUAUGCCAUCCUGAGGGUAUCCAAGUGAGAUGGCGUCAAUUCACUGUGUUCCCAGGGUGGGGGUGUGCUUUUGCGACUAAAGUCAU
This 380-nucleotide long non-coding RNA is filed under the name Nicotiana benthamiana. RNAcentral's name for it is "long non-coding RNA (NBEN_LNC020310)". The record is from RNAcentral. Lineage: Eukaryota; Viridiplantae; Streptophyta; Magnoliopsida; Solanales; Solanaceae.